GUCCACGCCGUAAACGAUGUCAACUAGCCGUUGGCUCUCUUAGAGAGUUAGUGGCGCAGCUAACGCAUUAAGUUGACCGCCUGGGGAGUACGGCCGCAAGGUUAAAACUCAAAUGAAUUGACGGGGGCCCGCACAAGCGGUGGAGCAUGUGGUUUAAUUCGAUGCAACGCGAAGAACCUUACCUACCCUUGACAUCCAGAGAAUCUGUUAGAGAUAGUAGAGUGCCUUCGGGAACUCUGAGACAGGUGCUGCAUGGCUGUCGU
This 263-nucleotide ribosomal RNA is filed under the name uncultured bacterium. Its description in RNAcentral is "partial 16S ribosomal RNA". It matches the Rfam family "Bacterial small subunit ribosomal RNA", at positions 793 to 1055 of the family's 1533-position model. The record is from RNAcentral.